Tarenaya hassleriana is the source of this 1997-nucleotide RNA transcript. It is a transcript of the gene named serine/threonine-protein kinase HT1, with no coding region annotated. Lineage: Eukaryota; Viridiplantae; Streptophyta; Magnoliopsida; Brassicales; Cleomaceae. The record is from RefSeq and is a predicted model, not a curated record. The transcript has 5 exons.
UGAAAAUCUCUGCUUUGGAUCCGUUCCUUAUUCACUUCGCUUCCUUUUCUUUUUUUUUUGCGCCCCAACCCAACUUAUAUCCAAUCGUCUGGUGGCUUUCCUUCUUCUCCUCUCUUUUCAAUUUCCCGGAAAGUUUCCUUGUUUUCCCGGAAAGCUUACCCUGUUCUUCAACCCUUUUUCAUUCCCUGUGACAAAAUGAAGCCCGUUACUUUUCCUGUCCGUCUCUGUUUCCUUCUUGUGAAACUUUUUUCCUUUUGAUAUCCGCUGUGGUUUUGGGGACACCGCAAACAAAAAAAAACCCCUGUUUGGCUUGUAUGAAUAUUUUCCUGGGUUUUCUUUCCCUGAUUCUGUUUGCUUCCCGAGAAAAUUAAUGAAAACCCGGAUUUUCUCUCGGGAUUUCCUGCCGAACCCAUGUUUUUGAAUCAGUUCAUGCACUUCCUGAAAUCGAUUCACACUUUCAGAAGGAAAAACCCCUUUUAACGCCCAAAACCAAACCACCGGACAAAAAACAAACAAACCCUAAAGCCCCUCAAGAAGAAGAAACACAACCUUGCGACCCAAGAAACCAGACAUGGCGGGAUCAUGUUUCAACCCGUUUCGUCUCCGUAGAUCUCAAAAGACGAAACUCCAGCCUCCAACGCAACCUCUGCCACCCAUAUCUUCGCUUCCAUCGUCCUCGAAGUCGAGAUACGCAGAGACAGAGACGAUGGAGAAGAAAAGAUUCGACAGCAUGGAAUCUUGGUCGAUGAUUCUGGAAUCUGAGAACGUGGAAACUUGGGAGGCAUCGAAGGAGGACCGAGAGGAUUGGACGGCGGAUCUGUCGCAGCUUUUCAUCGGAAACAAGUUUGCUUCAGGAGCACACAGUCGCAUUUACAGAGGGAUCUAUAAACAGAGAGCGGUGGCGGUGAAAAUGGUGAGGAUUCCGACACACAGGGAAGAGACAAGAACUAAACUCGAACAACAGUUCAAGUCUGAGGUUGCUCUCCUCUCUCGUCUCUUUCAUCCCAACAUCGUCCAGUUCAUCGCAGCGUGCAAGAAACCGCCCGUAUACUGUAUAAUAACGGAGUACAUGUCCCAAGGGAAUCUGCGGAUGUAUCUGAACAAGAAAGAACCGUAUUCUCUCUCGACCGAAACCAUUCUAAGAUUGGCCCUCGACAUAUCGAGAGGGAUGGAGUAUCUUCACUCGCAAGGGGUUAUCCACAGAGACCUGAAAUCGAACAAUCUGCUGUUGAACGACGAGAUGAGGGUCAAAGUUGCAGAUUUCGGGACCUCGUGUCUCGAGACGCAGUGCAGAGAGGCCAAGGGAAACAUGGGGACUUACCGGUGGAUGGCGCCCGAGAUGAUCAAGGAGAAACCCUACACCCGGAAAGUCGACGUCUAUAGCUUCGGGAUCGUUCUUUGGGAGCUCACUACCGCUUUGCUUCCGUUCCAAGGCAUGACUCCCGUUCAAGCCGCCUUUGCCGUCGCUGAAAAGAACGAGAGGCCGCCAUUGCCGGCGAGCUGCCAACCGGCGUUAGCCCAACUGAUAAAACGGUGCUGGUCGGCGAACCCGUCGAAGAGGCCGGAUUUCUGCGAGAUAGUGGCGGCGCUCGAGAAAUACGACGAGUGCGUGAAAGAAGGACUGCCCCUCGCCGGCCUUGUCACCACCAAGAACGCCAUUCUUGAUCGACUCAAGGGCUGUGUUUCGUCCAUCCAUGGCUCCUCUUCCUCCUCCUCCUCCUCCUCUGUCCCUGUACAUGCCUAAGUAAAAUCCCCUUCAAAACCUUCUCCUUCGUUCCAAAGUUGAAGUGGGCGCCGCGUAUCAAAGAGACGUUGAAUGCCUGAUCGAAGUUUUUUUUAUAACGCGGACACGAGGAGUCCAGGCAAGUCGCACAAGAUGCUCGUGGAAUGCAAAAAGACCAAGUCAAAGACGUCGUGUUGACUUUUGGAUUGCUUUGAAAAACGUAUUGAUAGGUUAAUUUGGCAUAAUUUUAUCGAUUAUUAGGUGACUAUUAUGC